GACGAACGCUGGCGGCGUGCCUAAUACAUGCAAGUUGAGCGCUGAAGGUUGGGACUUGUACCAACUGGGUGAGCAGCGAACGGGUGAGUAACGCGUGGGGAAUCUGCCUUUGAGCGGGGGACAACAUUCGGAAACGAAUGCUAAUACCGCAUAAAAACUUUAAACACAAGUUUUAAGUUUGAAAGAUGCAAUUGCAUCACUCAAAGAUGAUCCCGCGUUGUAUUAGCUAGUUGGUGAGGUAAAGGCUCACCAAGGCGAUGAUACAUAGCCGACCUGAUAGGGUGAUCGGCCACAUUCGGACUGAGACACGGCCCCAACCCAUACGGCAAGCAGCAGUAGGGAAUCUUCGGCUAUGGAAGUGAGUCUGACCGAGAAACGCCGAGUGAGUGAAGAAGGUUUUCGGAUCGUAAAAUGCUGUUGGUAGAGAAGAACGUUGGUGGGAGUGGAAAGCUCAUCAAGUGACGGUACCUCCCCAGAAAGGGACGGCUAACUACGUG
This 497-nucleotide ribosomal RNA is filed under the name uncultured bacterium. RNAcentral's name for it is "partial 16S ribosomal RNA". It matches the Rfam family "Bacterial small subunit ribosomal RNA", at positions 28 to 507 of the family's 1533-position model. The record is from RNAcentral.